This 357-nucleotide ribosomal RNA is filed under the name uncultured bacterium. RNAcentral's name for it is "bacterial SSU rRNA". It matches the Rfam family "Bacterial small subunit ribosomal RNA", at positions 29 to 415 of the family's 1533-position model. The record is from RNAcentral.
AGCGAACGCUGGCGGCAGGCCUAAUACAUGCAAGUCGAACGCACCUUCGGGUGAGUGGCGGACGGGUGAGUAACGCGUGGGAACGUGCCCUUUGGUUCGGAACAACACAGGGAAACUUGUGCUAAUACCGAAUGUGCCCUUCGGGGAAAGGAUUUAUCGCCAUUGGAGCGGCCCGCGUUGGAUUAGGUAGUUGGUGAGGUAAAGGCUCACCAAGCCUACGAUCCAUAGCUGGUCUGAGAGGANGAUCAGCCACACUGGGACUGAGACACGGCCCAGACUCCUACGGGAGGCAGCAGUGGGGAAUCUUGCGCAAUGCGCGAAAGCGUGACGCAGCAACGCCGCGUGGGGGAAGACGCC